RNAcentral lists this ribosomal RNA (432 nucleotides) under uncultured bacterium. Its description in RNAcentral is "bacterial SSU rRNA". It matches the Rfam family "Bacterial small subunit ribosomal RNA", at positions 11 to 451 of the family's 1533-position model. The record is from RNAcentral.
GUUUGAUCCUGGCUCAGGACUAACGCUGGCGGCGUGCCUAACACAUGCAAGUCGAACGAAGCAGCAAUGCUUAGUGGCAGACGGGUGAGUAACGCGUAGAUAAUGUGCCCUCUUGCGGGGGAUACCGUUUCGAAAGGAACGUUAAUACCGCAUAAAGUCCUUAGGAGGCAUCUCCCUAGGACCAAACUUCCGGGGCGGGAGGAGCAAUCUGCGUACUAUCAGCUAGUUGGUGAGGUAAUGGCUCACCAAGGCUACGACGGUUAACUGGUCUGAGAGGAUGAUCAGUCACACUGGAACUGAGACACGGUCCAGACUCCUACGGGAGGCAGCAGUGAGGAAUAUUGCGCAAUGGCGAAAAGCCUGACGCAGCGACGCCGCGUGGAGGAGUGACGGAUUUCGGUCUCGUAAACUACCUGUCAGUAGGAAGGAGAA